RNAcentral lists this ribosomal RNA (492 nucleotides) under uncultured bacterium. RNAcentral's name for it is "partial 16S ribosomal RNA". It matches the Rfam family "Bacterial small subunit ribosomal RNA", at positions 29 to 507 of the family's 1533-position model. The record is from RNAcentral.
AGUGAACGCUGGCGGUAGGCCUAACACAUGCAAGUCGAACGGCAGCACAGUAAGAGCUUGCUCUUACGGGUGGCGAGUGGCGGACGGGUGAGGAAUACAUCGGAAUCUACUUUUUCGUGGGGGAUAACGUAGGGAAACUUACGCUAAUACCGCAUACGACCUACGGGUGAAAGCAGGGGAUCUUCGGACCUUGCGGGAUUGAAUGAGCCGAUGUCGGAUUAGCUAGUUGGCGGGGUAAAGGCCCACCAAGGCGACGAUCCGAAGCUGGUCUGAGAGGAUGAUCCGCCACCCUGGAACUGAGACACGUUCCAGACUCCUACGGGAGGCAGCAGUGGGGAAUAUUGGAGAAUGGGCGCAAGCCUGAUCCAGCCAUACCGCGUGAGUGCAGAAGGACUUCGGGUUGUAAAGCCCUUUUGUUGGGAAAGAAAAGCAGCAGGUUAAUACCCCGCUGUUCUGACGGUACCCAAAGAAUAAGCACCGGCUAACUUCGUG